UCCUUGUAAAUAUAUCGAGAGUUUUCUUCUUUGUGUAUUUUUUUUUUUGCAAUUAUUAAUUUCUUCUUUACUUUCUCUGCUUUUCAUCAGAUUGUCUCUACUGUUUCCUAUUUAUUUAAAUCAAAGUGUAAUAUUCAAAAAUGGUUCCGCAAUACAAAUAUUAUUUUACUUGGAAAACAGCAAGUAAGUUAAGUGCACAAGCAAACAAUUUUUCAGAAUUCGGCUCUGGUCUGGAAACAUCACUAUGGUAACGUCACGUGAAUGGUCGAUAUUCGGUCGCAUUUUAUGUCUAUGUCGGAGCUCUUUUCUCGUCUCGUCAUUCUUAUUAUAUCCGUCGAACCCCCAAAGGCAACAUUUUAGUCGAGAUCGAAUUAAAUUCCAUCUAAUAUUUUGCGUUCAAUUUUUCAUUCAAUUUCAUAAAGUUAACCAGUUAUAAUGUGUCUCAUUCUGCAUUUUCAUUUAAUCUAUUUAAAUUUAUACCACUUCAUAAUAAAAUAGUUUAUUCUAGCUUUUAUGUAGGCGAGAGUUUUAUUUAUCACAUGUAAUAGACCUGCCAAUAAAAUCAAUGACAUUUCGUGGAAUAUCCAUAAGAAUAAGAUUUCUGAGUUGACUUUGAAAUGGAAAAUCGAUAAGAAUUACCUUAAACGGUACCGAAAGUACCAACACCGAUAUGAAUUUUAAAUUGUUAAUGGACGUUCCCUUAUGACAAACACUGUCGAUCAGUACAAUAUAGCCACAUCUAGAUCUGCAGUGAACAAUACUAUGCGUGAUGCACGUGGGUCCAACCUAAUUACUCCCACAAAAUUUGGCGUCAUGGUUUGCGACAACAAUUUCCCUUUCCGUGCUUAACGACAAAAACUUCAUAAGGAAAACGAAAAAAUUCUCGUUGGACGAGAUGUACUACCAGAAAGACCUCUUGAAAACUGUGUUUAUUUCGUAACGUAUUUAUGAACAUAGGGUGGGAGGUACGCUAAGACACUAUAUAUCAGUUUUAAGCAGAUUCAGUGUUGAACAUAAAAAGCCUUACAUUUUCUCGUCGAAGUUACGGUUUACCUUUAGGAUGGGUUUUAUGAACCAAAAGGACCGGGAGGAAUUCUUUGGAUCUGUAUUUGGGUUCCUAUUAACAGUGUAGUACCAAAAUUUCCAACUAUUAUUUUUUUUCCUUCUCUUCAUAGUUGUUACAACUGAUUUGCUCAGAUUAACUUCCCGGUCAUAGCGGAUUAAGCAGCGUGUGUCACUUCUUUUCUAAAAUAAGUUAGUAAUGAAAGUUCCAUAUAGACAUUUGCAUAAAAAUGUCGGGAUAUAAAACAUAUUUACACGCUUAAUAACUGAUAUUUUGGAUUAAUUUGGGAUAAUUUUGUAUAUCAGAAAAAUCGCUGGUUUAUAAAAGAUAUUUGUUUCGGAACUAUUAACCAGUUUUGUCUAUAAUUAAUGGUAUUAGGUCACGAACCUAUAUAAAACACAAAUUAAAUGGUAAUUAUGUACUUUUAAAAGCUUGAAACAAGACCAUAGCACAAUUAAAAAAUAUAUGUCUAUCGUUUCAUUUAAUUGUAACUUUUUAGACAAAAAUAACAUAAGAAUCAAUUUGCAUAUUUUAGAUUCAUUAGAAGGCAACUGAGAGGUGGAUAAUAAGGAAUAUUGCUCGUGGUACAAAUUGCAAAGGCCAAAUUAAUACUCAACGCUAUUAAGAGCGAAAAUCGCAAUUUUAGUACUAGUAGAUUUGUUUUUCUGUAUUAUGAAGCCAUCUGAAGCUUACUUGUCCAAAGUGGUAAAAACUGAGUAUUUCGAAUAUGACUUGAGCAAUAUAUUAAGAUCUUUUCAAUAAUUUUUGUAGCAAACUGUUACUAUUACUAUUAGUUUUGAAAAUGGCAUUCUUAAUAAUAAAAUAAUAAAUUCUGCGUAAAAAAUUACAUCGGAAAUGAUUUCAUAAAAACACAAAUUUUACAUAGCAAAAAAGUUACUGAGAUUUUUUCAAAUAUAAUCUCGAAACAUCAUUAGGUUUUUAAGAUAGAGUGUCCAAUUUGACCUACUCUGUACAUUGUGUGUAAACAGUAAAUAAAAUUUUCCUGGGUAUUCAGUCAAAUAAAACUUUUUUAUCUUCAAAGAUAUAUUUAGAAUUUUUUCUACUCCCGUCUGUAAAAUACCUAAUUAUGCACCGAUCUAGCGUGCGAAAAGCAUCACUUUACCACGUCAGUUCCGUUUCCCACGAAUCCGAGCCACUUCGGGCAUUUCCGGGAUUUUAACCGCACGGAUUUGGAAGCAAUCGGAUAUUUUCGGAGAUAUUUCCCACGCUUUGAAUUUUGAUGUUUGUCAAUUCUGACAGUCAUGUCAGUGAAUGUAUUCUUGUUUUGCGAAAAUGUACGCAAAAACUAACGGUCGUAGAAAAAGUAUAGUAUGCAACACGUUCGGUAAACUUUUUAACUCACUCGUUUAUUAAAAUACGCUCCGCUCGUGUCAAAUAAACUCGUGAGUCAAAUGCCGUUUACGGCACUUGUUGCAUAAUAUACUAUUGUAGUUUGCCAAUUUUGACGGUCAUAUCAAUGAAUGUAUUCGUGUUGUUGUGCACAAAUGUUCCAUAACUAACGAACUAACGCAUUUGAUGAACUUUAAGUCAAUUAAAUGCCGUUUACCACACUUGCAUAAUAUACUAUUAAAAAACAAAUAUAUAAAAGGCAGAUGUCGGCCGAACACCAGGUCGCACUACAUUAAGAGCUCCAUGUUGGUCUGAGUUUACUUUAAUUUUACUUUGUAAUUUAACAAACCAUAAUGUAAUCUUUGUCCGUUGUCUGUCUUUUAAAUAAUAUUCUACAUGAAGUAAAUUAUUUUUUAAACUAACUUCCUUUAUAUGCAGUAUAACGUACCUAUAAAAAAGUUUUAUCUGACCGAGUAUCCAGAAAAUUUUUAUUUCGAUUGAUUGUGUAUGAAUAGUACUCACGAGGGGGUCUAUAUCUAGUAUCCAAAACGUUAUCGCUCCUAGUCCUCGGUCGAGGAGGCAGGGCGGGUGGUAUUGGCGACACUUCAAUCCCAUCUUUGUCCAACUUUCUUAGCUGAGAAGUAUGUUCGUUGAUAUCAUCGGUUUCAUUUUCACUCUGAGAAUAAAACUUGCCAUUCAAAAAAGCUUGAGUUUGUUGCUGGGUCAAAUUUAUUAUUAUUAUAUUAAAAAAUAAUUAUUUUACGACCGCCGGCAGAAAACAUACAGCUAUUUAAAUUGUUUAAAAAGUAAUAUAACAAUAAGAGUUUAAAUUAUUUGAUUUUUUUUCAAAGAAACUUCCACAGGCUACUGUACUGUACUGGUUGUUGUUGAGUUGAACUUGCUAACGUUUGGCGAAUCAUCUUAUUGGCUUCUUCAGAGCUUAAUUGAAACUGUUUAAAGAAAGAAAUUACCUCGCGACAACAGGCGCGUGUAUAUGUACUGCUGACAAGAUCAUCACUAGUUUUGCUGGACUGAUAAUGACGAUCAUCCUUUGAAAGCUCCGGUGACGGCGAUGCCAUUUCGGGUCUCUGCAACUUAGCGGGAGCAAUAAUUAACCAGAAAAUGAGAUGAGUACACAACACACAUUCCGUUUUCCAUGAAAGUUCGACACUUGUUCAUACCUACUUACAACUGGCAUCACAUCAGACACGAAUACCAGAAUACCGCGAAGAAAUUGUUAAGUUCCCGUGAGAAGAAGUAACAGCGUUUAAAAAAGACGGAUGGAAUUACGUGCGUUCUUUAUCUAACCUGAGGAUGGAGUAUGAAAAGUCAGAGUCGGAUACCGCCUAAGCCGGUACCUGCAGCAAAAACCUUGAUGGAGAGAUGGAGGUUCAUUAUUCCAUGUACUUGAAGAACCAUUAUUGCAAUAAAUCGCCAAAGUCAUGGGAGGGCCUUCUGUAGGAGCAUGGUGGGUGUGAUGAGGAGGUAAAUAGUUGUGAGGAGUUGACAACGAG
Long non-coding RNA from Cylas formicarius (sweet potato weevil), 3927 nucleotides. RefSeq lists it as uncharacterized. NCBI's taxonomy places the organism in Eukaryota, Metazoa, Arthropoda, Insecta, Coleoptera, Brentidae. The transcript has 4 exons. The record is from RefSeq and is a predicted model, not a curated record.